Molecule: ribosomal RNA, 158 nt
Filed under: uncultured bacterium
Lineage: Bacteria
Description: partial 16S ribosomal RNA
Rfam family: Bacterial small subunit ribosomal RNA
Source: RNAcentral
UGGCAGGUCAGCAUACUGCCGUGAAUACGUUCCCGGGCCUUGUACACACCGCCCGUCACACCAUGAGAGUUGGAAAUACCCGAAGCCCGUGAGCUAACUUAAAGAGGCAGCAGUCGAAGGUAGAGCCAAUGAUUGGGGUGAAGUCGUAACAAGGUAGC